This 110-nucleotide small nuclear RNA is filed under the name Spermophilus dauricus (Daurian ground squirrel). Its description in RNAcentral is "U5 spliceosomal RNA (ENSSDAG00000013433.1)". The stretch from base 1 to 87 matches the Rfam family "U5 spliceosomal RNA". From Rfam's summary of the family: U5 RNA is a component of both types of known spliceosome. The record is from RNAcentral. Lineage: Eukaryota; Metazoa; Chordata; Mammalia; Rodentia; Sciuridae.
AUACUCUGGUUUCUCUUCAGAUCGUGUGAAUCUCUUGCCUUUUACUAAAGAUUUCCAUGGAGAUGAUCAUUUCCGGGGUGUCUUCUGUGCCAUCCCCAAAGUCUGGAUUA